RNAcentral lists this ribosomal RNA (435 nucleotides) under Nannocoris sp. Col 3653. Its description in RNAcentral is "partial 28S ribosomal RNA". Lineage: Eukaryota; Metazoa; Arthropoda; Insecta; Hemiptera; Schizopteridae. The record is from RNAcentral.
UAAAAAGUACGUGACCCUUUUUGGGGGUAAACAGAAAAGAACUGAAAAUCCGAAAAGGGAGAUUCACGUCUUCUCGUUUGUUUAAUAUAGUUAAUUGUAUGAUAACUAAUGGCCUGUACAUUUUGUAUUAGUGCUACUAGUUGCUUACUAGACUAUAUUAGCAACGGUGGACCGCACUUCUCUCUUAGUAGGACGUCGCGACCUGCUAACUUAUAAUUUAAGAUCAAAUCUAUUAAAAGUUUUAUUAUAAUAAGAAUUUAUUUUUAUUUAUAAUAAAAUGGUUUGUUUCUAAUUAAAUAGUUGGCAGUAUAAAACGACAGUGUCGAGCUGCUUACAUUAAGCGUUUAACAAAUGAUAAAUUUUUUUAUUAUAAUUCGAUAUGGAUUUUAAUCUAUAUAAAUUAUUUAAGAUCAUUAUCGUUUUGUUUUUUUUUUU